CCUACGGGAGGCAGCAGUGGGGAAUCUUGGACAAUGGCGAAAGCCUGAUCCAGCGACGCCGCGUGGGGGAUGAAGCCCUUCGGGGUGUAAACCCCUGUUGCGAGGGAGGAAUAAGGCCUGGAGGAAAUGCCAGGCCGAUGACUGUACCUCGCGAGGAAGCCCCGGCUAACUACGUGCCAGCAGCCGCGGUAAUACGUAGGGGGCGAGCGUUACCCGGAUUCACUGGGCGUAAAGCGGGUGUAGGCGGCUCGGUAAGUCGGGUGUGAAAUCCCACAGCUCAACUGUGGAAUUGCGCCCGAAACUGCUGAGCUUGGGGCCGGUAGAGGGAGACGGAACUGCCGGUGUAGGGGUGAAAUCCGUAGAUAUCGGCAGGAACGCCGGUGGGGAAGCCGGUCUCCUGGGCCGCGCCCGACGCUGAGACCCGAAAGCUAGGGGAGCAAACC
This 443-nucleotide ribosomal RNA is filed under the name uncultured Thermotoga sp. Its description in RNAcentral is "bacterial SSU rRNA". It matches the Rfam family "Bacterial small subunit ribosomal RNA", at positions 338 to 774 of the family's 1533-position model. The record is from RNAcentral. Lineage: Bacteria; Thermotogati; Thermotogota; Thermotogae; Thermotogales; Thermotogaceae.